AUACCCGUAUUGUCAUAGUUUCAUAAUUUAUGAUUUUUUGAAGCCUUUCUGGUUGCUGUGUUGAACAGAGUUUUGUGUGUUUUAAAAAAAAUAAAUAUGUGUAAUGUGAAUAUUAAGUUUUGUCUUUCAGUUCUUAAUACUAAAAAUACAAUUAUGAUAAUCAUGAUUUAAAUUCAUUAAAUAAUUUUAAGUCACUUUAGUUAAAUCAUCUUCUGUGUUCAAUAAGGUGUACUGUGAUGUUUUACAUGAAAAAAGGUUCAUUUUCAGUGGUUAGAGGUUUGUUCAGAGUGCAGGAGGUUUUUGUACGGCCACUUAAUGAGUUUGUAUCACUGUGGUACACUUUUGGUGGAGGAACCAAACUCAUCGUUGGCUCGGGUGUGGUGAGACCCACCCUCACAGUCCUCCCUCCAUCCAAAGAGGAAGACAAACAGAGUAGUGCCACUGUGGUGUGUCUGGCCACCGGGGGCUUCCCCUCAAACUGGAAGCUGGGCUGGACGGUGGGGGGCACCAGCACAUCCUCAGGGGUUUCAACCAGCCUGGAGGUCUUGGGGACAGACGGCCGCUACAGCUGGAGCAGCACCCUGAGCCUCUCUGCAGACCAGUGGAGGAAGGCGGGCUCAGUGAGCUGUGAGGCCAGCCUGAGUGGACAGAGCCCCGUCACUCAAACCCUGGACCCUGACCACUGCUCAGAGUAGAGCUUCAGCAACACUUCCUGUCUGCAUAUGAUGUGUUUUAUAGUUUGAUGAAGCUACAUGUUUAUUUUUUUGCGAUAUUUCUGCAAACAUUUCACUCUGUAUUGAUUUGCAUGGUAAUUUGAUCAGCUAAUAUUAUCCAUGUUGUUCUUUCAAACCGUGCUGUAAAAAAAAAA
Oreochromis niloticus (Nile tilapia) is the source of this 868-nucleotide non-coding RNA. Lineage: Eukaryota; Metazoa; Chordata; Actinopteri; Cichliformes; Cichlidae. The record is from the annotation of a RefSeq genome assembly.